This is a long non-coding RNA of Anguilla anguilla (European eel), 967 nucleotides long. RefSeq lists it as uncharacterized. Lineage: Eukaryota; Metazoa; Chordata; Actinopteri; Anguilliformes; Anguillidae. The record is from RefSeq and is a predicted model, not a curated record. The transcript has 3 exons.
GUGACCAUGCUCUAAGCAUGUGACCAAGGCUGUGGCACGGAAGAAGUUCAUGCAUUGCCUGUUUAAAUUGUGGUUCACUGUAUCGAUAUAUUUUCACAGUAAAAAAGUAAUUAUAACUAGUGAGUUCCUAAAAACAAUAACGUGUAUGUGAAACGGAGAAAAUGUGUUCCGCACUGUGUUAUUCCAGGACCUUACAAAACCCGAUUCUGUUCACUAUAUUAGCUCAGCUCCGGUUGCAUAGAAGGCAACAGUGUUAUCUUUCAUUUGGACACUUGUCUAUAAAUGUCAACAGUAAACACAAAGGGAGAAGCCUUGCUUCUUGUCUUCAUUCAACUCAACAGUCCGUCUGUGGUGGCACAGCGGUGUCAUGGUUGACCAAACUGAAACGAAUCAAAGUUGGAUUGUGUAUGGAGUUUUCAACCUCAGGCCAUAGCAGAAGCGAAGCAAUCGGAAAUAUACAGUCGAGCCAUUAUCAUUUGGUGUACACCUGCAAGGUCUGCUCCACCAGAUCAAUGAAAAAGAUAUCCAAAACAGCCUAUCAUAAGGGUGUUGUCAUAGUAACUUGUCCAGGCUGCAAAAAUCACCACAUCAUUGCUGACAACCUAGGAUGGUUUUCAGACCUGGAAGGAAAGCGGAACAUAGAGGAGAUUUUGGCAUCAAAGGGGGAGAAAGUGAAAAGGAUUAAGGGUGAUGAAGCCAUACAGAUUGUCACGGAAGAAUCCAUGACAGAGGACUCGCAAAACUCUCCAAAUGGACAAAAGAAGUUGCCAAAGGGUGGAAGCUCAGAGGAAACAUGAAUAAUGAGGUUUACUGUCACUGAGCAAAAAUCGAUUUAAUAUAUUUUUUUAUUUUAUUGAAUAAAAGCACAGCUUCUUAAUGGCAUGCUUUCGAUGUUCAUUGUACCAAUAUAAUAUAUCAGUGUAAUAAAAUGUUUAUGCUUAUGUUCCUGUUUGCCUGAAUAUGAAAA